AGGUGGAGAAUCAUGUUGUUGAGUUCCUUGUGGAGUGAUGGAUCAGAUGGCAUCGGCAUGCGGGGAAUCUAACAAACUUCUUGCAAUGGUUUUCCAGCCAGCUGAGGUGCGUGGACUUGUGUCGAUCCCUUCCCAUAUACGAUUCUGGUGUAUUGGUUUAGGAAUGGGACAUAGGACAUUGAAAAUAGUUGUAAUUGGAUGAUAUUAUGUACUUAUAGCUUCGAGUGGGCUCAUUGUGCAUAAUGCCGAGAGAAGGGAAGAAACUGUGCAGACUUGGAAGUGUGCCAAGGUAAUAAAAUUGGAUUGGUAUGAUCAUAUUGUGUCAACAGGCUCUUUGAUGUACCAGUCCUAGAACAAGUGUCAGUGCGACAAAGACUGCAAGCAAGAAGUAGCCAAUGCGAGAACAACAACGACAAAUAAGAAGGGAACCUGUACGACAAUGGUGGCGACUAAGAAGAAGACCACGUUUAAAUCCUCUGGUACAAAGAGUUGAUAACCUUUUUAAUGUCUCAAAUCUUGUUGAAGUGACCAUACAGGAACAACCAUAAGUCAACAGAAGUGAAAGUGGGGCGUCAGGUAAUUCAAAUUUGAAUAAGCACUGACCAUUAAUAAUUUUUUCCUGUGAUUUUUAGAAUGUAUGCGAUGCCAAAAAUUUUAUGAGGCUUUAAGCGCUGACCAUCAACAAUUUUUAGUUGCGCUUUCAAAUUUCAGGGUUCAGGGUUCUCGUCGUGACAUGAAGGUUUGGUGAAGGAUCUGUCGGAUGGAUGGAAUGUGAUGAUGGUUUGAUACUGCUUCGUUCUUGGAAGAGAUGUCUCGUGCAAUGCUUGCAUAGAUGCUGCGGCAUUGGAUUCCAUCAGCUUCACCAAAUCUGCUUCAAAUGUGAAGGCAAAUACUGAUUAUGUGAGUCCUGUUUCUGUUGGUUUAUUCUCAUCUCAUAUACCUAGGAAUAAAACUUAGGGAUUGUCUUUUAAGUUCCGAACCAAUUCGAAUGCAGAGAGAACAAAAGUUAAAGUUAUCCUUAAUAAAGGAAGUUUUUGUUGAGUGUGGGAUUGAAUCUAUGGGAUUAUUGAAUGUGUGAUUGGAUCUAUGGGAUCGAUGGAAUGAAAGAUUAGCAGGUUAUUUUGAA
This is a long non-coding RNA of Papaver somniferum (opium poppy), 1126 nucleotides long. RefSeq lists it as uncharacterized. NCBI's taxonomy places the organism in Eukaryota, Viridiplantae, Streptophyta, Magnoliopsida, Ranunculales, Papaveraceae. The record is from RefSeq and is a predicted model, not a curated record. The transcript is spliced from 3 exons.